RNAcentral lists this long non-coding RNA (2758 nucleotides) under Solanum tuberosum (potato). Its description in RNAcentral is "long non-coding RNA (STUB_LNC001663)". Lineage: Eukaryota; Viridiplantae; Streptophyta; Magnoliopsida; Solanales; Solanaceae. The record is from RNAcentral.
GGGGGGAAAAUAGAAAACAAAUUUUUUUAUUCCCAUGCCACUAUUAAGCUAUUACUUAGCUUCAUGAACAAUAAGUUAGUAAUAUUCAUAUUUAUUUGUACUACAACUGUCCUUAAUUAGUACAAUUUCUUAAAUUUGGAGUAGUUAUUGAUUUAUUGUCGUCUCUAAAGCAGCUUCAAAAACUAAACUGUGUAGAUAGUUGUGUUUGUAUCCUCGAGAAGAUGAAGUUUGUAACACAAAUCAAGCUUAUCAUCAGUUGACUUUUCUAUACUGUUAAAUGAAGUUACAAUUGAUGGCAACAAUGCACAAACAUAAAAAGAAAAAGAAAUUAGAAUUGCAAAUUGGAGCAAGUUUUUUACCUUAUAAAUAAUGAAAUUAAAUGCUCAAAUAAUCACUUCUACCACUUCAAAGAAAUUGCAUUUCCAAUCUUGAAACAAUGUUCUAGAAUCAAGGGAGUAUAUAUCAAUUGAGACAAUUUGUAGUUGCGAGUUGGUUCUUCAAUAACUAAAACAGAUUUCCAACAACAGAGUAGCAAUAAGAUGAAUAUGGAAGAAUGAGAGACUUAAAGAUUAGAUUUUUGUCACACUACUUCAAACUUCCUACCCUUGUAAAAAAAAGAGAGUCCCUCUUAAUUCCAUACUUCCUAAACUGCAAAUAAAGUGAACUUCUUACCAUCCAAAUAAAAAAUUUUAGACACAAUAUUUUAUUUUUUUUAUGACAAGGGAAAUUCGCGAUCGCUAUCCUUUGGGUACGCACAGGGUAAAACUCUGCUCCUAUGGAAUAGCUUAGAAACAUAUGGAUAUGAAAAUAAUUCAAGUGCAAGCUGAUGGGGAUAAAACUUCGUCUCUUCCUUUUUUCUGCGUUAAAUUGAAAGAUAAUCCAAAAAGCUAAUUCAGUUCUUUAUAAACUUAAUGGUCUUAAAAUCGAGUAAUGUAUCAUAAUCUAAUUUGUCGGGUCCGUGCUCAGUUUUCCUACCUUUAGUACCAAAUCUCCAUAAGCAACCAUAUAUUAUAUUGAAGUUUGGUUCGUUUUAUUUUUUUGUGAUUGAUUUGUUUUUUGCUUUUCGAAAAAGGGCAAAAAAAUAUUCUUGAACUAUAGGAAAAAGUGUAAAAAUACCCUUAUCUUUUGGUCUAAAAAUACUCUUCUAUUAAUCUUUUGAUCUAAAAAUACUCUUCCAUUCAUAUUUUGGCUCAUUUAUACCUUUGAAGCUAACAAUCCUCUCUUUAUUUUAUUUUUAAAAAAUUAUUUAUUAUGUGCCAUUUUCUUAUUGGAGGUAAUAUAACCCACUUCUACUAGAUUUUUUCUACUCUUCAAGACCCAAAAAAUAAUAAUUAAUAAAUCUAGUGUUUUUUUUUUUAUAUUUGCUAUAAUUUUUUAAAGUUUGUUUUGUGGUCACGAAGAAGAAUAUUAUUUUGACUUGGAUAAAUUAUGAGGAAAAAAUUAAAAGAUAUUUUGAAAAAACUAAUUGUUUUAUGUAUUUGUUGUAGCUUAUUUUUUUUGGAAGACAUGAAGCAGGUAUAUUAUUUUGAAUUGGAUCAAUUAUGGAGAAAAAUAUACAAAGAAUUUUUUAAAAAUAUCUAAAGUUACAACAAAACAUAUUUCGAUAAUUUCAAAAAUAUUGCUGCACAUACUUAUAUUCCAUUUAGACAAAAAGAAAAUCAAUCUUGUAAGAAUCAAAGUAAUUUUUUUAAUACCGUAUUAGCUUUCUUUAAUUUUCAUUUCAUGAAAUUUGAAUAGUUUUCUUUAUUUUUACCAUAACAUUAAUUUACAGAAAGGAAGGUGCAAAAAAAAAAAAAAAUUACUUAAAAAGUUUUUAUAGAUUUUUCUCAUAAUUUAUUUAAACCAAAAUAAUAUAUCUUCUUCAUGACCUUAAAAAAUUAAAAAGAAAAAGCUAUAGCAAAUAAAAAAAUUACUAGUUUUUUUGAAUUUUUUAAAUUAUGGGAAAAAAUCUAAUAGAGAUGGGGAAUUUAUUUCAUCUAAUAAGAAAAUGAAACAUAAUAACAUUUAAAAAAAGAAAAAAAAAGAAAGGGUUGCUAGUUUCAAGGUAUGAGCGAGCCAAAAAGGUGAAUGAAAUGAUAUUUUUAGACAAAAAAGAUGAUUAGAAAGAUAUUUUUGUGGAUGAAGGGUUUUUUAGACCUUUUCGCAUAGUUCAGGGUAUUUUGGUCCUAUUCCGUUUGUUUUUUAAUGGGUCUUUGAAUAUUCAUUAUGUCAUUUAGGAUUCUUCUCAGAUAUCAAACUACAUCAACUCAUAAUUGAAGCCCACAAGAAAAUCAAGAAAAAUAACAUAUGAAAAUUAGAAUUUCAUGAAUCAAAUCUAAAAAAGAAAUUGAAGAGGAAUUCAGAAGGACAACAAAAAAUUACCUCAAAGUUGCAGCGUACUUGGAGAAGAUUGAAGAUGAAAAUGAGUAUUGGGAGAAGCUUGAAGACGAACAAUUGUGGAAAACAAAAUAUCUAUGAACAAUAAAAAACAAAGGGUGAUUUUGAAAUUUGAGUUCACUUGAGUAUCCAAAAUUCAGAAUCAAAUUUCGCAUUGAAGAACAAAAAAAACACUCUCAUAUCUCCUUUUCCCCUUUACUUAUUACAACAAAAAGUACCGGAUAGAAAUUGAUUAAAAUUCAAAAACAAGAAAAGAGGAAAGGAAAAGGAAGUGCAUAGCCACGUGUUACAAUGUGGUGGCAAUCAAAAUCAGAUGGCACAAUAUUGAGAACUGAGCAGUUAAUGAAAAUGACGAUAAUAUCCUUUCUAAAUUGAAAUUUGA